UACUUACAUAACUGAGCUUUAUUUAGAAUCUUUGAAGUCAUAAAAUCUCUCAUUUUACUGAUAGACGUAAACAUACAAUCAGGAGGUUUCAUUGCUUUUUCCCUUGCACAGAAAUAAAGUUUAAACAAACCAGAACACCUCAACCCAGACAAGCGUAAUGCAGAUUUAAUCACCUAUACUUGGUCCUGUACAUACAGCACACGCUCCUCCGUGUGGUCACUGGUUUAUCAAUUAGUUGCAAUAUAAUUUUUGGCAGUAAUAUAUUCAACACACAAAGUGCAAAUUACAAGAAGCAGAAAAAUGUUCUCUCUCAUUCUGAGCAAUGAGAAGUGCAAAAUAUCUCAGCCCAUAAAUUCUAUUCUUUGUGUAUAUGAACAGUAUGUGCAUAAUAGGCUAAUAAAUAGCCGUGUAAAACUUCAUAGAUUAAAUGUGGCAACAUCUUAAAGGAGGAAUGCAACGGUUAUAAAAACAUAAUCAGGCAGAGGAAUCAUUACCUCUUGUUUAUAAAUUCCACACACUGUUUCUGAGGGUACCUCUUCACAUUUCACCUACCCGCCUUUAACUUCUGCAUACCUUGGAUGCUUCUGCAACCAAAGGCAGUUUGUUAAACAUUCUCCCAAUUUGCUACAUCUGGACAUAUUUCCGUGUGUCUACAAUCAAGGUUCCACUAACACUUCACUUGGCAAAUCAAAUAGUACAGUGGGAAUCCACUGAAAACGUGAAGUCUCUUCCAGGCACUAUUAACGGAAUACUAUUCCAGCAGGCUAAAUGCACUUUGUGAUUAACCUAAAGUUAAAAGGAAACUUUGCAAUGAAGAAAAACUAUUUCAAUGAGAGCUAAUCACAGCUUGCUUCAGUGUAGCUCAUCUCGCUUCAGUACCUCUUCUUUAAAGUAAAUUGGGGAAAUACCCUGUCUAGAUAAAACAUACUGAACAACAGUACCUUUAACACAAACCCUGCACUGCUCAGUUGUUAUACUGCAGAUUUUGAAUCAUCUUUCUAUUACAUACCAGGGAUUUUUCACACAAAAUGAGCAGCCAAUUUUGACACUCUCCCCGUGCUUUCAUUUCUCCCAGCUACAUCAUCACUAUAAAUUAUACCAAAUAGUCCAAAUCAGACUGGGCUGCUUCCUCUAAAACCCUACUGUUCCUUUGGAUAGGAAGAUUAAACCACAAUGACUUGCAUUGCCAUUAAUCUGCCUGCCAAAUUCAUUUGCUAAAUCACUAAGGCCACGGUCAUAUAAUCACUGCAGGAAUGGCUGUGACACGUAACGAAGUUGCUAACUUUUGGCUGAACGUUCCUGCAUCCCACCUUCAGUGUGCAGACACGACAGGCCUUGGGAAGGUGCCUUGUGGGCUUUGGCACAUGCUUGCUUAAACCAAAAAGUAGUUGAGGGCUUCAAAUGGGCCAUAUGACUUGCUGGAGGAGGCUGAGGAACCCCCUUCUUCAUGCUCUGCCCUGGGGAGGACAUCACCUUAAACCGCUGCAGCAGUCUUCUGCAGUGAUCAUCUCACCAGUGCCUGGUAUUAUUUGGUAUUAUCCAAACC
This 1546-nucleotide long non-coding RNA is filed under the name Strigops habroptila (Kakapo). Its description in RNAcentral is "lncRNA (ENSSHBG00005011519.1)". The record is from RNAcentral. Lineage: Eukaryota; Metazoa; Chordata; Aves; Psittaciformes; Psittacidae.